UGUUGCUAGAGUAUAUGGACGAUAGAGUUUGUUCUGGGUGAUUACAGACAUUUCCACCUCUCAUCUUGGUCUGUUGUCU
Long non-coding RNA from Sinocyclocheilus grahami, 79 nucleotides. RefSeq lists it as uncharacterized. NCBI's taxonomy places the organism in Eukaryota, Metazoa, Chordata, Actinopteri, Cypriniformes, Cyprinidae. The record is from RefSeq and is a predicted model, not a curated record. The transcript has 3 exons.